This 3011-nucleotide ribosomal RNA is filed under the name Staphylococcus aureus. RNAcentral describes it as "23S ribosomal RNA". It matches the Rfam family "Bacterial large subunit ribosomal RNA". Lineage: Bacteria; Bacillati; Bacillota; Bacilli; Caryophanales; Staphylococcaceae. The record is from RNAcentral.
GAUUAAGUUAUUAAGGGCGCACGGUGGAUGCCUUGGCACUAGAAGCCGAUGAAGGACGUUACUAACGACGAUAUGCUUUGGGGAGCUGUAAGUAAGCUUUGAUCCAGAGAUUUCCGAAUGGGGAAACCCAGCAUGAGUUAUGUCAUGUUAUCGAUAUGUGAAUACAUAGCAUAUCAGAAGGCACACCCGGAGAACUGAAACAUCUUAGUACCCGGAGGAAGAGAAAGAAAAUUCGAUUCCCUUAGUAGCGGCGAGCGAAACGGGAAGAGCCCAAACCAACAAGCUUGCUUGUUGGGGUUGUAGGACACUCUAUACGGAGUUACAAAGGACGACAUUAGACGAAUCAUCUGGAAAGAUGAAUCAAAGAAGGUAAUAAUCCUGUAGUCGAAAAUGUUGUCUCUCUUGAGUGGAUCCUGAGUACGACGGAGCACGUGAAAUUCCGUCGGAAUCUGGGAGGACCAUCUCCUAAGGCUAAAUACUCUCUAGUGACCGAUAGUGAACCAGUACCGUGAGGGAAAGGUGAAAAGCACCCCGGAAGGGGAGUGAAAUAGAACCUGAAACCGUGUGCUUACAAGUAGUCAGAGCCCGUUAAUGGGUGAUGGCGUGCCUUUUGUAGAAUGAACCGGCGAGUUACGAUUUGAUGCAAGGUUAAGCAGUAAAUGUGGAGCCGUAGCGAAAGCGAGUCUGAAUAGGGCGUUUAGUAUUUGGUCGUAGACCCGAAACCAGGUGAUCUACCCUUGGUCAGGUUGAAGUUCAGGUAACACUGAAUGGAGGACCGAACCGACUUACGUUGAAAAGUGAGCGGAUGAACUGAGGGUAGCGGAGAAAUUCCAAUCGAACCUGGAGAUAGCUGGUUCUCUCCGAAAUAGCUUUAGGGCUAGCCUCAAGUGAUGAUUAUUGGAGGUAGAGCACUGUUUGGACGAGGGGCCCCUCUCGGGUUACCGAAUUCAGACAAACUCCGAAUGCCAAUUAAUUUAACUUGGGAGUCAGAACAUGGGUGAUAAGGUCCGUGUUCGAAAGGGAAACAGCCCAGACCACCAGCUAAGGUCCCAAAAUAUAUGUUAAGUGGAAAAGGAUGUGGCGUUGCCCAGACAACUAGGAUGUUGGCUUAGAAGCAGCCAUCAUUUAAAGAGUGCGUAAUAGCUCACUAGUCGAGUGACACUGCGCCGAAAAUGUACCGGGGCUAAACAUAUUACCGAAGCUGUGGAUUGUCCUUUGGACAAUGGUAGGAGAGCGUUCUAAGGGCGUUGAAGCAUGAUCGUAAGGACAUGUGGAGCGCUUAGAAGUGAGAAUGCCGGUGUGAGUAGCGAAAGACGGGUGAGAAUCCCGUCCACCGAUUGACUAAGGUUUCCAGAGGAAGGCUCGUCCGCUCUGGGUUAGUCGGGUCCUAAGCUGAGGCCGACAGGCGUAGGCGAUGGAUAACAGGUUGAUAUUCCUGUACCACCUAUAAUCGUUUUAAUCGAUGGGGGGACGCAGUAGGAUAGGCGAAGCGUGCGAUUGGAUUGCACGUCUAAGCAGUAAGGCUGAGUAUUAGGCAAAUCCGGUACUCGUUANNNNNNNNNNNNNNNNNNNNNNNNNNNNNNNNNNNNNNNNNNNNNNNNNNNNNNNNNNNNNNNNNNNNNNNNNNNNNNNNNNNNNNNNNNNNNGAACUGUGAUGGGGAGAAGACAUUGUGUCUUCGAGUCGUUGAUUUCACACUGCCGAGAAAAGCCUCUAGAUAGAAAAUAGGUGCCCGUACCGCAAACCGACACAGGUAGUCAAGAUGAGAAUUCUAAGGUGAGCGAGCGAACUCUCGUUAAGGAACUCGGCAAAAUGACCCCGUAACUUCGGGAGAAGGGGUGCUCUUUAGGGUUAACGCCCAGAAGAGCCGCAGUGAAUAGGCCCAAGCGACUGUUUAUCAAAAACACAGGUCUCUGCUAAACCGUAAGGUGAUGUAUAGGGGCUGACGCCUGCCCGGUGCUGGAAGGUUAAGAGGAGUGGUUAGCUUCUGCGAAGCUACGAAUCGAAGCCCCAGUAAACGGCGGCCGUAACUAUAACGGUCCUAAGGUAGCGAAAUUCCUUGUCGGGUAAGUUCCGACCCGCACGAAAGGCGUAACGAUUUGGGCACUGUCUCAACGAGAGACUCGGUGAAAUCAUAGUACCUGUGAAGAUGCAGGUUACCCGCGACAGGACGGAAAGACCCCGUGGAGCUUUACUGUAGCCUGAUAUUGAAAUUCGGCACAGCUUGUACAGGAUAGGUAGGAGCCUUUGAAACGUGAGCGCUAGCUUACGUGGAGGCGCUGGUGGGAUACUACCCUAGCUGUGUUGGCUUUCUAACCCGCACCACUUAUCGUGGUGGGAGACAGUGUCAGGCGGGCAGUUUGACUGGGGCGGUCGCCUCCUAAAAGGUAACGGAGGCGCUCAAAGGUUCCCUCAGAAUGGUUGGAAAUCAUUCAUAGAGUGUAAAGGCAUAAGGGAGCUUGACUGCGAGACCUACAAGUCGAGCAGGGUCGAAAGACGGACUUAGUGAUCCGGUGGUUCCGCAUGGAAGGGCCAUCGCUCAACGGAUAAAAGCUACCCCGGGGAUAACAGGCUUAUCUCCCCCAAGAGUUCACAUCGACGGGGAGGUUUGGCACCUCGAUGUCGGCUCAUCGCAUCCUGGGGCUGUAGUCGGUCCCAAGGGUUGGGCUGUUCGCCCAUUAAAGCGGUACGCGAGCUGGGUUCAGAACGUCGUGAGACAGUUCGGUCCCUAUCCGUCGUGGGCGUAGGAAAUUUGAGAGGAGCUGUCCUUAGUACGAGAGGACCGGGAUGGACAUACCUCUGGUGUACCAGUUGUCGUGCCAACGGCAUAGCUGGGUAGCUAUGUGUGGACGGGAUAAGUGCUGAAAGCAUCUAAGCAUGAAGCCCCCCUCAAGAUGAGAUUUCCCAACUUCGGUUAUAAGAUCCCUCAAAGAUGAUGAGGUUAAUAGGUUCGAGGUGGAAGCAUGGUGACAUGUGGAGCUGACGAAUACUAAUCGAUCGAAGACUUAAUCAA